GAGAGGUACAAGCCAAGUCACCCAGAAGAGGCCAAAGUCCCCCAAGGAAGUCCUGGAGCAAGGUGGUAUAUGGGUAGGCUGAGAGGAUUUUAAUGGGCAGAGUUUAGGGGUAGGCUGGGUGCAUUUGGGAAUACAAAAGGCUGAUUUGUGCUUCUCUUUCUGUUCAAAUUGUCUCUUCUACCUAGUUAGAAUAACCUUCCCCUCCUCCUUCAAGACUCAGCUCAAACUGUCCCCUCCUUAAGUAGCCCUCCUUGAUCCUUUUCUAGAGAAGACUAGUAGCCCUUCCUUUAGGACCCCUUACCCACCCAUAACAAUACUGGCUGUAAUUGGAUGUAAUUUUUGUGAGAUUGUCACCCACAAAGUUCAGACCCAAAGUAGUGACAUGAUCAAAGAAACAGUCGACCACCAAAAGCUAAUUUAACAAUAAUUCUUGGACAAUGAAAAAGUGAUCCUAGCAGUGCCUCAAAUUCCUCCCACACACCUACAGCCGUUCUCUACUUCUGAUGUUACUGUUCUCUACUUCUUUAAAAACAAAAAUAACUCUUUCUCCAGUUCUAGCCCUUAGGCUUCAGGGAGGGAAAGAAAGUCAGGUUGCUGGGCUUUCUUGACCUUGGGCUCAGCAUCAUCCACAAGGACAAGCAGGGAGAAAAUGAAGAGAGAGUUACUAAGGAAAAGAGACUUAAGAACAUGCGUGAUCUUCAGAAAUGAUCAUUCUGAUAGCUUUUAGUGCCCCACCUAGUUUUAGCUCUGGUUGAAGCACAUACACUAGAACUGAAUCGGACUCUGAGACAAAGGAGAGGUCCAGGCAACAACUGCUACUAGACAAGGAGGAAGGGACAGCAGCAUGGUCCCCCAGCCAGAGCAUCCUCUCCAAGCCCCACAGCCCCAACAAGCAGCUCAGGAAAGGAAGGAGGGAGCAGAGUCAGAGUUUAGCUUUCAGGCUUCAGGUGCCAUGCUGGCAAGAAGCCUCAGCGCGGGGACUCACUGGCCUGCAGCAGGAGAGGGGAGUCCAGCCUAGCCCCAGCCCUGCUCCAAAGAAAAGGCCUCCCGGGGACCUGGGUGGCAUGGGGCAGGGCGGGGUGGGAUGAAAAGCCAGAGGUGGACCAUAACCAGGAAGAAGGACACUGUGGAUAUGACUAUAAUUGAGAGGAGGAAAGGAGCAAUGCUCAUGGAUUGUUCUCUGAGGCUCCAGAAUGGGAAUUUUUACCAGCAAGUGAGAGGGUAUAAGCUAUUCAUUCUGCAACUUUUUGCUGAUCACCUACUUUGUGCCAGGCACUGAGCAAGGUCUUCAAGGAGUUUGCAUUCUAGUGAGGAAAACAGGGAAAAGAAGCAAUAAAGUUAAAUACAGGCUGCUAUGAGAGCACUUAGAAAAACAGAAAGGCCAUCUAAUCCAGAUUUGGAAGUUCAAGGCAGGCUUGCAGAGGAAAUGAUUUUUUUUU
Molecule: non-coding RNA, 1439 nt
Organism: Ceratotherium simum simum (southern white rhinoceros)
Lineage: Eukaryota; Metazoa; Chordata; Mammalia; Perissodactyla; Rhinocerotidae
Source: RefSeq, a predicted model, not a curated record